GAUGAACGCUGGCGGCGUGCCUAAUACAUGCAAGUCGAGCGAACGGACGAGAAGCUUGCUUCUCUGAUGUUAGCGGCGGACGGGUGAGUAACACGUGGAUAACCUACCUAUAAGACUGGGAUAACUUCGGGAAACCGGAGCUAAUACCGGAUAAUAUCUUGAACCGCAUGGUUCAAAAGUGAAAGACGGUCUUGCUGUCACUUAUAGAUGGAUCCGCGCUGCAUUAGCUAGUUGGUAAGGUAACGGCUUACCAAGGCAACGAUGCAUAGCCGACCUGAGAGGGUGAUCGGCCACACUGGAACUGAGACACGGCCCAGACUCCUACGGGAGGCAGCAGUAGGGAAUCUUCCGCAAUGGGCGAAAGCCUGACGGAGCAACGCCGCGUGAGUGAUGAAGGUCUUCGGAUCGUAAAACUCUGUUAUUAGGGAAGAACAUAUGUGUAAGUAACUGUGCACAUCUUGACGGUACCUAAUCAGAAAGCCACGGCUAACUACGUG
RNAcentral lists this ribosomal RNA (497 nucleotides) under uncultured bacterium. RNAcentral's name for it is "partial 16S ribosomal RNA". It matches the Rfam family "Bacterial small subunit ribosomal RNA", at positions 28 to 507 of the family's 1533-position model. The record is from RNAcentral.